This 64-nucleotide ribosomal RNA is filed under the name Musca domestica (house fly). RNAcentral's name for it is "partial 5.8S ribosomal RNA". The record is from RNAcentral. Lineage: Eukaryota; Metazoa; Arthropoda; Insecta; Diptera; Muscidae.
UCAUACUGUAUGUACUUUAUUUUUAUUAGAGUGCUGCUUGGACUACAUAUGGUUGAGGGUUGUA